RNAcentral lists this ribosomal RNA (325 nucleotides) under uncultured eukaryote. RNAcentral describes it as "partial 18S ribosomal RNA". It matches the Rfam family "Eukaryotic small subunit ribosomal RNA", at positions 1470 to 1796 of the family's 1831-position model. The record is from RNAcentral.
CCCUUAGAUGUUCUGGGCCGCACGCGUGCUACACUGAGUGGAUCAGCGGGUCAGGUUGCGCGAAAGCGUUUCCUAAUCUUUAAAUCCGCUCGUGAUGGGGAUUGACGGUUGCAAUUUUCUGUCGUGAACGAGGAAUUCCUAGUAAGUGCAAGUCAUCAGCUUGCGCUGAUUACGUCCCUGCCCUUUGUACACACCGCCCGUCGCUACUACCGAUUGAAUGGUUUAGUGAGAUCUCUGGAUUGACGCUGGCUAGGGGGCGACCCUUGGCCAGACUGUUGAGAAACUGCUCAAACUUGAUCAUUUAGAGGAAGUAAAAGUCGUAACA